RNAcentral lists this long non-coding RNA (203 nucleotides) under Elaeis guineensis (African oil palm). RNAcentral's name for it is "long non-coding RNA (EGUI_LNC007975)". Lineage: Eukaryota; Viridiplantae; Streptophyta; Magnoliopsida; Arecales; Arecaceae. The record is from RNAcentral.
AGAUCUAAAAAUUUGAAUGACUGAAAUUCAUGUGAUGGAUUUUAUGAUUUGAAAAUAUAUUUUUAGAUCUAAAAUUUAGAUUAUUUUAUAUUUAUUUAUUAAUUUUAAGAUUUAAAAAUUAUUUUUAAGAUCUAAAAAUCUGAUUUCUUAUGUUCAUACUCCAUAAAUUCGAUAUCUAAUUUUCAUGUGAUGUAAAUCCUGUU